UGGGGAAUAUUGCGCAAUGGGGGCAACCCUGACGCAGCAACGCCGCGUGCGGGAAGAAGGCGUCCGCGUCGUAAACCGCUUUCAGCAGGGAAGACAUCGACGGUACCUGCAGAAGAAGCCCCGGCUAACUACGUGCCAGCAGCCGCGGUAACACGUAGGGGGCGAGCGUUAUCCGGAUUCAUUGGGCGUAAAGCGCGCGCAGGCGGCCGCUCAAGCGGGACCUCUAACCUGGGGGCUCAACCCUCAGCCGGGUCCCGAACUGGGCGGCUCGGGUUCGGUAGGGGCAGGCGGAAUUCCCGGUGUAGCGGUGGAAUGCGCAGAUAUCGGGAAGAACACCGACGGCGAAGGCAGCCUGCUGGGCCGCAACCGACGCUGAGGCGCGAAAGCCGGGGGAGCGAACAGG
RNAcentral lists this ribosomal RNA (403 nucleotides) under uncultured prokaryote. RNAcentral's name for it is "bacterial SSU rRNA". It matches the Rfam family "Bacterial small subunit ribosomal RNA", at positions 355 to 776 of the family's 1533-position model. RNAcentral also lists the same sequence under 1 other name. The record is from RNAcentral.